RNAcentral lists this ribosomal RNA (366 nucleotides) under Triticum aestivum (bread wheat). Its description in RNAcentral is "partial small subunit ribosomal RNA". Lineage: Eukaryota; Viridiplantae; Streptophyta; Magnoliopsida; Poales; Poaceae. The record is from RNAcentral.
GUCAUUGAAGAACUGCUCGAUGAACUGCAUGGAGCAGCAUGGUUCUCCAAGUUAGAUUUGCGCGCGGGCUAUCACCAGAUCAGGCUGGCUCUCGGGGAAGAGCACAAGACAAAAUUUUCCACUCACCAGGGCCAUUUUGAGUUCAAAGUGUUAUCUUUUGGCCCAGCUGGGGCCUCUCCCACAUUCAUUGAAGGGCUAACCACAUCUCUCAAGCCAGCGAUUCGUAUUUGUGUCCUCUGUUUCUUCGACGACAUCUUGAUUUUUAGUGCCACAUUGGAAGAACACAAGUGCCAUGUGAGACAAGUCUUGGAACUGCUCCGUAAAGACCACUGGAAAGUGAAGCUCAAUAAGUGUGCUUUCGGGCAA